CCACAGUUCUUGGGUAACGAUUGUCGUACUCGGUAGUUGUUCCCAAUGCUGAUCGUCCUUGGCAAAAGAUGUUUAGCUUCGUUGGAGGAAGUCUGGCAGCGGCAGUUCAUUUCAUCGUCUACCAGCGAACGUUGUUUUGGUUUGUGUGUCCGUCCGUGUUAAUGUCUUAUUUAUAGUUCAUAUCAAGCAGUGUAUUCAAUCCGUCCAGCUGGUUGAUCUGUUUAGAGGAUGGAAUCUUGACUGAACGAAUUCUACCCGCUUAUAUUUUUGAAGUGGAUAGGUAAAUCAAGAAGAUAGAAGGGAUCGGUUGUUUGACGUUGGACUGGACUGACAUGUCCUAUACACUGAAACUAUCCUAAUUGCCAGAACGAGUGAACUAGUCUCGGAGGUUUGCUUUUCUGGACGCGAAGAAACCUUAUGAUCAACGGCCGUAAAACACUAGAUGGUGCCGAGUUUCUAAUGCUACCAUGCAUUUCACUUUUUCUCGACUGUUUUGGAUAAGAUUAAUAGUGAACUGGUUUUAAAAUAA
Molecule: long non-coding RNA, 529 nt
Organism: Macrobrachium nipponense
Lineage: Eukaryota; Metazoa; Arthropoda; Malacostraca; Decapoda; Palaemonidae
Exons: 3
Source: RefSeq, a predicted model, not a curated record